AUUUAGGCUUCCCUUCUAUCUCCAUCACACCUACACACAUAUCCGUGUACCUAUUUGCCAAUUUAAAAAUUUAAUCUCUUGAUUAUUGCCACUUGCACUGCAUUUGCAUGUGGCUAUAUAUUGUUCUUAGUUAAGAAGGAUGAUAGGUACAUAUAUUUUAAGUGUGUCUAUAUAGAUGCUCUGAAUAGGGAAAUCAUGGAGGAAGUGAACACUGAGCAAUGCCAAGAAAAGGCACCUGGAGAGAUGUAUGGAGAUGUAGACAGGAGCUCAGCAUGUCAGGCAUCUUCAGGAAUGGGGCUUGUUUCAUUUGCUGUUUUCUUCCUUGACCCUUUACAUCAUUCCUAUUAGGAUCACAGAAAUAUUUCAUUUUUUUCUUUAAAAAUAGCUCCUCCUUCAUUUGUUGAAUGGCCAGAAAGUUUAACAAGGCCUCGAGCUGGCACUGCUCGAUUUGUGUGUCAGGCAGAAGGAAUCCCCUCUCCCAAGAUGUCAUGGUUGAAAAAUGGAAGGAAGAUACAUUCGAAUGGUAGAAUUAAAAUGUACAACAGUAAAUUGGUAAUUAACCAGAUUAUUCCUGAAG
Molecule: small RNA, 577 nt
Filed under: Pan troglodytes (chimpanzee)
Lineage: Eukaryota; Metazoa; Chordata; Mammalia; Primates; Hominidae
Description: retained intron
Source: RNAcentral